ACUGGGGUUGUAGAGGGUUAGUAGUUGGCACUAUUUUUAGGAUACUGGAUCCUUUACAAGGCAUAAUUGGACAAAGCCAAAGGAAAAAUUCCACAUAAUUCAUUCAUUAAGAUAAUGAAAAAUUAUAUCAAAAUUGUAAUGGCCGAGUCUUGUAUUACAUUUAUACCAGAUUAGCUCUCCUUUUUCAAAUAAUUUGAGCUGAUUAGGUAUGGACACACUGUCAUUGGUGGCCGUCAUUCUGGUCUUUGCAGAACAAAGUUCACAUGUUAAACUAUGCGAUCAUGUGCAAGAGAUGCUCAAGUUAUGAUUUCAAGUUGGGAAUUGGAGAGUUCUAAUUGAGUUCUUCCACGUCUCAUAUGCUUCCAUCCAAUCAUCGACUAUUAUAUAUAAAAUUAAGAUUUAUUCAAGUUCUUAUUUUUUGUGGAAAUUAAUUUUAGUGCCAGUCCGCUAUAUUUAGAUUAACCUUAUAACAAUAUAUUUGAGUUUGUUUUAAGUUAAAGUAAAGUAAUAAUAUCUUUAUCUUAUAGUAGAAGAAAGGAGAAUAUGAUUUGAUUAAGAGGAAUGGAGGGUUACCUCAGCUAUUAAGAUCCUACAAAGAGAAAAUUAUAUUCGGUGAGAUAAGGAUCUUCGUGAGAGCAGCCGUCUAAUAU
This 650-nucleotide long non-coding RNA is filed under the name Elaeis guineensis (African oil palm). RNAcentral describes it as "long non-coding RNA (EGUI_LNC010798)". The record is from RNAcentral. Lineage: Eukaryota; Viridiplantae; Streptophyta; Magnoliopsida; Arecales; Arecaceae.